This 64-nucleotide transfer RNA is filed under the name Triplax ainonia. RNAcentral's name for it is "tRNA-Cys". The record is from RNAcentral. Lineage: Eukaryota; Metazoa; Arthropoda; Insecta; Coleoptera; Erotylidae.
AAUUCUAUAGUCAAAAAUGAUUUUAAAUUGCAAAUUUAAAGGUAAAGAUUUUCUUUUAGAAUUU